UACAGAGGGGGCAAGCGUUGUUCGGAAUUACUGGGCGUAAAGGGCGCGUAGGCGGCCUGUUAAGUCGAACGUGAAAUCCCUGGGCUCAACCCAGGAACUGCGUCCGAUACUGGCAGGCUUGAAUUCGGGAGAGGGAUGCGGAAUUCCAGGUGUAGCGGUGAAAUGCGUAGAUAUCGGGAGGAACACCAGUGGCGAAGGCGGCGACCUGGGCCAAUAUUGACGCUGAGGUGCGAAAGCGUGGGGAGCAAACAGG
Molecule: ribosomal RNA, 253 nt
Filed under: uncultured bacterium
Lineage: Bacteria
Description: partial 16S ribosomal RNA
Rfam family: Bacterial small subunit ribosomal RNA
Source: RNAcentral